RNAcentral lists this ribosomal RNA (706 nucleotides) under Enterobacter hormaechei. RNAcentral describes it as "bacterial SSU rRNA". It matches the Rfam family "Bacterial small subunit ribosomal RNA", at positions 827 to 1533 of the family's 1533-position model. The record is from RNAcentral. Lineage: Bacteria; Pseudomonadati; Pseudomonadota; Gammaproteobacteria; Enterobacterales; Enterobacteriaceae.
UGCCCUUGAGGCGUGGCUUCCGGAGCUAACGCGUUAAGUCGACCGCCUGGGGAGUACGGCCGCAAGGUUAAAACUCAAAUGAAUUGACGGGGGCCCGCACAAGCGGUGGAGCAUGUGGUUUAAUUCGAUGCAACGCGAAGAACCUUACCUACUCUUGACAUCCAGAGAACUUAGCAGAGAUGCUUUGGUGCCUUCGGGAACUCUGAGACAGGUGCUGCAUGGCUGUCGUCAGCUCGUGUUGUGAAAUGUUGGGUUAAGUCCCGCAACGAGCGCAACCCUUAUCCUUUGUUGCCAGCGGUUAGGCCGGGAACUCAAAGGAGACUGCCAGUGAUAAACUGGAGGAAGGUGGGGAUGACGUCAAGUCAUCAUGGCCCUUACGAGUAGGGCUACACACGUGCUACAAUGGCGCAUACAAAGAGAAGCGACCUCGCGAGAGCAAGCGGACCUCAUAAAGUGCGUCGUAGUCCGGAUUGGAGUCUGCAACUCGACUCCAUGAAGUCGGAAUCGCUAGUAAUCGUGGAUCAGAAUGCCACGGUGAAUACGUUCCCGGGCCUUGUACACACCGCCCGUCACACCAUGGGAGUGGGUUGCAAAAGAAGUAGGUAGCUUAACCUUCGGGAGGGCGCUUACCACUUUGUGAUUCAUGACUGGGGUGAAGUCGUAACAAGGUAACCGUAGGGGAACCUGCGGUUGGAUCACCUCCUUA